UAAGACUGAGCUAAAAGAUGAGAAAUCCUAGUCACUGGCCAAGCAGAAUUUGUACCUAAUAUAAGUCUCUUUGAGUUACUUGGGGCCUUAAUAUGGUGGUGGGUAGAACUUGGGCAGCCUGGCAGAAAGCGCCCAUGUGGCUACAUGGUUCAGGUGGCUUUUGACAUAAAGAUUUAUUGUAACAUCUAUGGAUACAAAUUUCUCACACUAGAAAAAUUAGUUAACUAACAAUGUCUUGCUUGUUUAAAGGUUUUAGGAAAAGAGUGCCCUAGUUCAGGCUCACUGUGACCAUCCUGAUAGCUCCCUUUCUAAAGUCCUCUGCAAUAUAGUAUUCUGUGCCAGUUUCUUUUCCUCUAUAGUGUCUUGGAGAAAGUCAACUGUGUUGUGCAUGGAAGACCCUCUAUGUGUUGAAGAUUUUACAGAUGGGUUAAAACUUCACAACUCUAUUUUGUCCAGAUAUGGACCUGAAUUAUCUUGAGCUACCUUUUGUCUCCCAGGUUCUUUGCUGACCUGUGAGAAAGACUUCUACACCAACUAUGUGAGGAUGAGGCCAUGCGACCCAUGAUGGCAGAAGUGUGUGACAGCUGAGAGAAAAUACUGCAGCUUUAGUGGGUUUCUCCCCUGUCCUGGUGACCCCUAACAUCUCAGGAUGAUUCAUCUUGUCACAAUAUGACAGAACAUCAGUCAAGUUGGCUAAGGUUCCUGAAAGACUAAAAGGAAACAAAUCUUUUCUUUGGACAGUUUUGAGUAUUUGUAUAUGCAUAAGAAGUAAUAAACAUUUAUUGUUUCAAGUAA
Non-coding RNA from Cricetulus griseus (Chinese hamster), 795 nucleotides. The record is from RefSeq and is a predicted model, not a curated record. NCBI's taxonomy places the organism in Eukaryota, Metazoa, Chordata, Mammalia, Rodentia, Cricetidae.